This 386-nucleotide ribosomal RNA is filed under the name Salmonella enterica subsp. enterica serovar Infantis. RNAcentral's name for it is "partial 23S ribosomal RNA". It matches the Rfam family "Bacterial large subunit ribosomal RNA", at positions 133 to 559 of the family's 2925-position model. RNAcentral also lists the same sequence under 3 other names. The record is from RNAcentral. Lineage: Bacteria; Pseudomonadati; Pseudomonadota; Gammaproteobacteria; Enterobacterales; Enterobacteriaceae.
GUGACUCGUCACACUAUCAUUAACUGAAUCCAUAGGUUAAUGAGGCGAACCGGGGGAACUGAAACAUCUAAGUACCCCGAGGAAAAGAAAUCAACCGAGAUUCCCCCAGUAGCGGCGAGCGAACGGGGAGGAGCCCAGAGCCUGAAUCAGCAUGUGUGUUAGUGGAAGCGUCUGGAAAGGCGCGCGAUACAGGGUGACAGCCCCGUACACAAAAGCGCAUGUGCUGUGAGCUCGAUGAGUAGGGCGGGACACGUGGUAUCCUGUCUGAAUAUGGGGGGACCAUCCUCCAAGGCUAAAUACUCCUGACUGACCGAUAGUGAACCAGUACCGUGAGGGAAAGGCGAAAAGAACCCCGGCGAGGGGAGUGAAAAAGAACCUGAAACCGU